ACGUACACUCCUGCGGGAGGCAACAGUGGGGAAUAUUGGACAAUGGGCGCAAGCCUGAUCCAGCCAUGCCGCGUGAGUGAUGAAGGCCCUAGGGUUGUAAAGCUCUUUCACCGGUGAAGAUAAUGACGGUAACCGGAGAAGAAGCCCCGGCUAACUUCGUGCCAGCAGCCGCGGUAAUACGAAGGGGGCUAGCGUUGUUCGGAUUUACUGGGCGUAAAGCGCACGUAGGCGGACUAUUAAGUCAGGGGUGAAAUCCCGGGGCUCAACCCCGGAACUGCCUUUGAUACUGGUAGUCUUGAGUUCGAGAGAGGUGAGUGGAAUUCCGAGUGUAGAGGUGAAAUUCGUAGAUAUUCGGAGGAACACCAGUGGCGAAGGCGGCUCACUGGCUCGAUACUGACGCUGAGGUGCGAAAGCGUGGGGAGCAAACAGGAUUAGAAACCCUAGUAGUCCC
RNAcentral lists this ribosomal RNA (451 nucleotides) under uncultured organism. RNAcentral's name for it is "partial 16S ribosomal RNA". It matches the Rfam family "Bacterial small subunit ribosomal RNA", at positions 329 to 797 of the family's 1533-position model. The record is from RNAcentral.